Molecule: long non-coding RNA, 381 nt
Filed under: Capsella rubella
Lineage: Eukaryota; Viridiplantae; Streptophyta; Magnoliopsida; Brassicales; Brassicaceae
Description: long non-coding RNA (CRUB_LNC003693)
Source: RNAcentral
AGAACAAAACUACAAAAUCCCAAUAUCAUUAACAAAAUUUAUCCGGAAAAAGCAAAAAUUUCUUUAAAAUAAAAAGUUGCCUAAAAACAGAAAUUGCUGUUCCAGAGACUAUAUUGUUACAGCCCAAAAAAGAAGCUACGCAAAGGUGGUGGGUAAUGAAAUGCAAACAAAAACACACACUACAGAUACGGCAAGACUAACAAAGAGGAGCUGAGCUGAGAAGCUACGCAGAGGUGGUGGGUAAUGAAAUGCGAACAAAAACACACUACUGAUACGGCAAGACUGUCAAAGAGGGAGCUGAGCUGAGCUGAGCUUUGCUUUACUCUUCGCCUUGGCUCUCAUCCUUCACCAGUUUGAUCAUGUCGUCAAUUCGCAGAAUUG